CAGCAGCCGCGGUAAUACGGAGGGAGCUAGCGUUGUUCGGAAUUACUGGGCGUAAAGCGCGCGUAGGCGGUUUUUUAAGUCAGAGGUGAAAGCCCGGGGCUCAACCCCGGAAUUGCCUUUGAAACUGGAAAACUUGAAUCUUGGAGAGGUCAGUGGAAUUCCGAGUGUAGAGGUGAAAUUCGUAGAUAUUCGGAAGAACACCAGUGGCGAAGGCGACUGACUGGACAAGUAUUGACGCUGAGGUGCGAUAGCGUGGGGAGCAAACAGGAUUAGAUACCCUGGUAGUCCACGCCGUAAACGAUGAUAACUAGCUGUCCGGGUUCAUAGAACUUGGGUGGCGCAGCUAACGCAUUAAGUUAUCCGCCUGGGGAGUACGGUCGCAAGAUUAAAACUCAAAGGAAU
Molecule: ribosomal RNA, 402 nt
Filed under: uncultured bacterium
Lineage: Bacteria
Description: bacterial SSU rRNA
Rfam family: Bacterial small subunit ribosomal RNA
Source: RNAcentral